This is an RNA transcript of Anopheles funestus (African malaria mosquito), 7615 nucleotides long. It is a transcript of the gene named synaptosomal-associated protein 25, with no coding region annotated. NCBI's taxonomy places the organism in Eukaryota, Metazoa, Arthropoda, Insecta, Diptera, Culicidae. The transcript has 9 exons. The record is from RefSeq and is a predicted model, not a curated record.
GAACGAAACCUGUGGUAGAACCGAACUGGUGCUCGGAAUCGAAGAGUGAAAAUUGUGUCUGCGUCAAACUUUUCCAAAACCUCUGUCGAUCGCUUUUCGAAGCAGCUCGUUAUUUCUUCAACGCUUUAACUGUCCUCGAAACCACCCCAAACUAAACCAGAAUGCCGGCAGCAGCACCGCAGGUGGAAAAUGGUGCAGGCGUACCAAAAACGGAGCUGCAGGAGCUCCAAAUUAAACAGCAGCAGGUGGUCGAUGAGUCCUUGGACAGUACCCGCCGAAUGCUGGCACUAUGCGAGGAGAGCAAGGAAGCCGGGAUUCGAACCCUGGUGGCCCUUGACGAUCAGGGAGAACAAUUGGACCGAAUCGAGGAGGGCAUGGACCAGAUCAAUGCCGACAUGCGUGAAGCUGAGAAGAAUCUGAGUGGCAUGGAAAAAUGCUGUGGUAUCUGUGUCUUACCGUGCAACAAAAGUGCAUCCUUUAAAGAGGACGAUGGUACCUGGAAGGGCAACGAUGACGGUAAAGUGGUUAACAAUCAGCCCCAGCGAGUAAUGGACGAUCGCAAUGGAUUGGGCCCGCAGGCAGGUUACAUCGGAAGGAUCACGAACGAUGCGCGGGAGGAUGAAAUGGAGGAAAACAUGGGACAGGUGAACACGAUGAUCGGUAAUCUGCGAAACAUGGCGCUCGAUAUGGGCUCCGAGCUUGAGAAUCAGAACAGACAGAUCGACAGAAUCAAUCGCAAGGGCGCAUCGAAUGAGGACAGGAUAAAGGCGGCCAAUGAAAAAGCGCACUCGCUUCUCAAAUAAAAAGGGUACCGAGUAUAUAUAUAGCAGUGCAUAUAUACAAUAUACACACCUAUCUAUACAUAUAUAUAUAUACAUAUACUUGUAUGGUUAUCGUUAUUAUUUUACCUCCUCCAAUUUCGGAUAUCGAAACGAACAAACGCGAAAAAUGGAGAUUCCAACGCCACCAGGAUAGCAGCGGCCAACGAACGGGCUCACGAUCUGCUGAAAUAAGCUGUGCGACACUUACGAUCGCUGAUGGUUUGAGCAACGGAAGGAUGUUAGGCGCGACACAGACAACAGGACGGCAUGCGAUUGUAAUUGAGCAGUGUAAACUAUUCCAGUUGUGUGUGGUCCUGCCGGGUAGAAAAGGCUAUAGAGAGCAAAUAGAGAAAUUGAGGCAAAAAAGCGCUAAUCAAGAUCCACCUACGAUUUACAACAAAGCAUGGAAAACUGAACACGAAUACUGAAAAAACAAAACAAAAAAAACGGCAUACACCGAUAACACUGCAGAUGGAAGAACACAUUGUCAACCGGACGUUAGACUGCUUUGCAUUUAAAUAAGCGUUAAUGAGGAAGAGUUGGGAAUAAAACAAUGGAGUGUGUCAAUCAGUUGCCACCGCUUGCUGGUUUAGUGUAAGAGGACGCUCUAGGCUUAAACGAGAAACGUUGAUCAUUUACCGAAAUGAUGGCACAGAUCGAGCGCAUAAAUUUUACCCUCCCCAUUUUACCCUCAACACAAGUAUAUGAGACAGCGAAAUGCAGACAAGUCACAGGAGCAGGAGCGCUAGAGAAAAAAAGGCGGUGAAAAUAUUACAACGAUACUCUUAGGUUUCACUAGGUUGUGCGUUAUUGCGUUUUGAAUUCCAUUACUACUCGCUGCAUCUGCACGAAGAUGAUGAUCGUUCUGUCACAACCAGUGCGCGUGUGCCUUUGCUGCGGCACGAAUGUUAGGUUGUUUUUUGGUUGUUAUUAUUUUAAGUUUCACUUUUAGGCUACCGCGCGGGACCAAAGUAUCCUGUCCUUUCGUUCGUAUGUUUUCUUCUCUCGGACAGUUUUUGACACGUCGUUUUGUGUAAAAAAGUGUGCAUUCGCAUAAGAUGCAGGUGAUGAUCGAGAUUAUUCUCACACGUUCGUUGUUUGCCACUACCGUUACUAGCGUUAGUCUUAACGAUGCUCGUUUUGUCCGUUUUUAAAGCAGCUUUUAGUAACAGUAGGAUAGGAUAAAAAUCUUCUCCCCCCCUUGUUCGUCCAAUCGUUUGAUUGGGCGAGGAUUUUUUUUCCCCCUGACUCCCUUUCCCCAGCGUGUGUAUGUGUAUACAACGAUGCAUCCACGAGAAAAACGUGGGCAAAGCGUUGUGCGGAUUGUUAAAAGAAUCAGUGAUCAGAGUCAGCUCUUUAAGACAUUUUAAUCGUUACAGUAUAGUGUAGAUCCUUCAUACUAAUGCUACAUGAAUGUUUAGGGUUGUUAAUACUGCAGCAUAAUGUGCACAUCACCCUUAAUCGUUUCUUGUUUGGCUACGUUUUGAACGAACUGCGUUCGAGCGGUUUCCUUUUUCUUCCCACCGAGACCGGAAAGCAAAAGAAAGAGGUAGAGAGUAUCAAGUGUCCAGUCAGGCGAUGUAGCUAAUCAUCAUAUCACUGGGCGCGUGCUGGGAUGUUGUUGCAGAUGCCAUUUUGUGAUGUGUGAUGACCGAACGAAUAAAAUUGCUCUUUCCGUCUGAAAGAUUCCGACGUAUAAAGGUUUACCAGCUAGGUAAACCGUUCUCGUGUAAUUCGUUACAAUUUACGAACAUGUUCGUGUGUGCUUAAUGCUCUCCGUGUCAUUAAAACUUUGUUCCUCAGCAAGGGCGCUCAGUAACGCUGAGAUAUAGUGUUUUUAAAACCUAUUUGUUAAUUGAUGAACAGAACGCUUCAAACGCCUAGCAAAACUAGCGUCGUUACAUAUAGUUGGCAACAAAGCAUUAAUUCGGCAACGGCAAGUAGCUAUUCGGCUAUCGGUUAUGCUACGGGAAGGAAAUGGAACAAGGUUAGCACGGACAGAUAUUUAAUUUGCUUUGUUCCGAUUGAUCAUAGUUGGUAGAUUAUGUUAAAGUUCCCCAUUAGGGUGCAUAUAUUUUACUAUUCUAGACGUUGUGGAUAUAGAUCGUCCCCAAAAUCAACGAUCAGUCUUGUAAUGUAGCCCAGCACCCAGCGUUAACUAGUUGACUAGCAUGCCACAGUUAUAGUAAAAGUAAUCUCAAUUGCAUCAACUGGAUCCGCUGAACACUGAAGCUUGGUAUUUUGCCAUUCGACGGAAAGAAAAUGGUGGUGGUGGUUAAAAGUUUGAAUUAACUUCCUUACUUCACCGCACCUCGAAACCCAACAUCGGAAGGCAGUAAAACGGGAUGGUCAUUUUCCUGUGGUACAUGCUGGUUUAAAUGGCAAGCAAAUUUUCAUCUCGAUAUAGCUUCAAUCUCAAAUAAUAAUGUGAACAAAACGAACAAAAAAAAAACAACAACAACUAAAACCCCCAGUGUAGUGGAACCUGCAUUAAGACGAACAGAAACCAUAGCCACCAAAAAACGUUGGAAUAGUGAAAGGAAAAGGAACAUUACUAAAACAAAAAAACAAAAAUUAAAAAGCAAAAAAGCGUACUUUAAUAAUAAAUAUAAAUAUACAAAACUUAUACAUUAUUAAUGAUACAUUAUUUACUUAGCAAACAGUGAGCGAGUAAAUGUGCAUGGACGCGUUUAUAUCAUAUCAAGGCAGGCCAGACGUAAUACAGACAGCAACAAAAGCGAAUUCUACAAAACCCCAUGCAUGGGCGAAAAGACAAGCAUCAAACGUGAGGCAACCACAAACAAACAAACAAACAAACACACAAACGAAAAACGAAAGGGAAAAUAAAACUAGCAAAACUAAACACCGAAGUGAAUUGUAUCGCAAAGCAAGCUAAUCAUAAGGAAGCAUAUAAGUGCAGCAUAACAAGCAUGUGUGGAUAAAUGCGCAUUUUCCAUUUGAAUGGGCAAACAAUUGUGGCAAACAACAACAACAACAAACAAACCGUGGAAGUUUUAACUUCCACAACAAUUUGCGAAUGAUGAAAAAAAGAAGAUUGCAAUAUUAUUGUGGUAUCCUACCGAAACGGAAAUGCUCGAUUUAUUAAAAUGAGAAGCAAAACCAAAAAAAAAGUAAAACAAAAAAGCAUUAAUCCAAGGCUAUACAUAGAGAGAAAGAGAAAGAAGUCCAGUAAUGAACAAAAAAGAAAAAAAAACAAAAAACUUUAUCAUAUACCAAUACUGCUGGGCUUACAGACAGCGACAGGACACUGAACACAAAAAAAGGACACGCGUUCAAGUAUAUACACUCAUUAUUAUGUUUGAACAAAAUGAACGUUGAUUGAAUAGAUUCAUCAGCAAUAAUAAACAAUUGUGAUAAUACAAUACAUACAAGAUGGGGGCGGGCGGAAUGAAAACAUAACACAAGCAAAGGAAGAUAGAAAGGGCAGGUGAUGAGCAAAAAAAGGCAGAAAUUAUGAAGCAAUCGAAGGAAGGGAAAGCAGAACGAAGCACGAAAACAUUAGUGAAAGAACAAACAAAGCAGUUGCAAUGUAGUGAGGCGCUUGACAAAACGUAUUGAAUGAGAAAAACAAGGGAAGAGGUAGCAAAAUGCGUAACAAAAAUAGUUAAAACAGUACCGUUAAAGAAUCGAGUGAAACAUAAGUAAACUCAUUUAAGUCUCGCACCGGGCUAGAAUGAAGGCAACCGUGUACGGAACGGUUUUUCUCCCAUUGGAGUAAUUAGAUUUGUUUAAUUUGCUUUCGCUCUAAUAGAAGGGUGACUAAAAUGAAACAGUUUAUGUAAAAAACAAAAACAUACACAUAAAAUCUUUAGUAUGUUUAAAUUGCAAAAAAACAUAGUUAAAAUCGCUUUUGAUCCGAUGAAAAGCCCCUGCAUCUUUUCUUCCACCAAAUUUCGGUUCUGUGAUUCGGUUCACCUUUUUCCUAACUACUUCCAAAACCAGAGCACCACUUACUUCCCGGGCAAAAAAAAAGCGAUCUCCAUUCUUCCAGCAACAGAUUUUUGAGCCACGCGGCAGGUGUUGCUAUCGAACCGCGAUCGACCUGCGCGCACCUGAUCUGUUGAUGAUUCUCUUUGUUGAAAUCGUUGUUAAAGGACGAGUUUGGUGGCAUUAAUACGUACAUGAUCGGUAACGGGGUAUUACCUACUCUGCAGACGAAUAAUUGCUAGAUGAAUAUCAAUCAAAAAUCCUUAACCGAACGCGCGGUACAGAAAUGGCAGCGGAAACAGAAUGUAACUAUCAGUGAAAGGCACAUUACAAGCAAACAUUACAAACAAACAACACUAGCACAAUGGGCUACACAGCAUCAUCUCUCUUACUACCUUAGCGAUUGAUAUUCUCCCUCCCAUUUGGAACAACGGUGCAUAUAUAUAUAUAUGAAGCAAAAAGGAAAACAAACGUAACAAAACAUUCAAUACCAGCUCUAGUUGUCUUUUUCAAAAAAAAACCCCCCCCAAAAAAGAAACCAAGCUCUACAUGUGUAUAAAACAAGUCAAAUAAAAAAGACAAAACUCCAAACUAUUGCCAUUAAUUCCGAGCAAAUAAGUAAUAGCUACUAAGGCACAUCACACCACUAUACUCUAUUAUUGCUAACUAGCAGCAUAGCGCAAUAGUAGCUUAGUAAACGGGGCUAACGUGUUUCUCUUUGUGAUUUACCAUUUGUGUUUUUUUGUGGUUUUCGUGUAUCCUAAGCCUUCCAUCCUUCCCUCCCCACAUCCUCCUCUAUUUUUCUAACCCAUUUUUGUUCACCCCUUAGCAUCCAACAUGUAAACUUUUCAGCUAAAAGUGACAGAAAACGAGACAUGUGCUAUAGAAAGGAAUGAUAACAAGCUGAAACAGCAGCAGACAGAAGAGAAAAAACACAGAAACACAGGAGACGUAGAGAGGAAGAAAAACAAACGAAGAAAGGGAAUGAUUGCAAACACCUAAAACAGAAAAAAAACGACAGAACGCAUAUGACGUGAAAGCAAAAAGCAAAAAGUUUACGAAAUGUUAUCUAGUUAAGUUUGGCUACAAACAAAAGAAAACAAAAAAACUUACUCUUAGCGUAAAUGAAUUCGAAAAUUUGUAAAUAGAAUAUAUACAUACAUACAUACAUACAUACACAUACAAGCAUUACACAAAUUAAGAAAUGAGCGCGCGUACAUGCUGAAACAUUCGCACAUAGAGCGCACCACCGCGUGCAACAUCACACGUGAGCAUUAAAGUUGCAUCUGCAUCUUGAACAUGUGCAUGUGUGUUUGUUGCGUGUGUGUGCGGAGUGUGCAUACGCGUUGCUGGUUGUCAGAAAAAAACCAUGGCAACUAAGGAAACCAACUCUGCUGCAAACUCUGUUGAAUAUUGCUAAUGAAAACUAGUAAAAAGGAAAUGCUGAAACACUGUGAACGAGCCCUCCAAACAAACAUAUGCCGUAUGUUUUUGUGCGAUAUAGUUUUACACACAUUAGCGGCGGCAAUAUGCGUUACAUUUAAGGGUUGUUUCACAUUUGUAUUUAAGUUUGUUGCGCUUAGCGAAUUUAUUAUGCGCUGUGUCUGCGGUUUGUUAUUUCUGUUUUAUUGCAUUACUAUUUUAUUAGCGCUUUCGACCUUCCCUAGUUUCCUGUUUGGAAUUAUUAGUAUCAAACCGUUACGGGGAACACAAAAUUAAUGGCCAAAAGAUAUGAAACAGUUACAACCAUCACCCUAACGUAUCCAUUAAUGCACUAUUUAAUUGUUGCAUAUAAAAACAUGUUUUGUUAUUUGAUUUAAAAUCAAUCCAUUUGCCGGUCUAGUUUAAUAGUGCACUAUGCACGUGUCUAGUAAUAAGCGGUUAUUUAUUCUGUUUUUAUUGCUUUGCUUAUUUUAACCAACUUCCUAACCAUUCUUGUGUGUUUAGUCACACAGAAAUGGGGCAAAUGCUCCAUAAGGAUAUAUUUUCACUUUACAUGCAAUAAAUGGGAAACAUUAUUCUCGCAUCAUAUGCAGAUGCAAUCACGUAUUCUCUCAUCCGAUACGCGAUUUGCGUCUGUGCGGCGAUGACAAUUGAGCGGCAAAACUGUUUGUACAUACACACAUACAUGUGGUGGAUUUGAGGAUAAAAAAAACACUAAAAUUCCAACACAUAAAAUCAUGAUCAUCCCCCUCCCCCACACCCAAAAAUACAACACAGUUCAGAGUUUCUAAGUUUAAUAGAAAAAAAGCCUAACUACUAACUGCAUCGCUUGCAUCCCGAUGUCCGUUACAGAAAGAAGGGAAAAACACCCCAACACUCAUAUAUACAUACACACACAAACACUUUCACGCAAUGUUUAAAAAGAAACCCAAUAGAUUCGCUUUUCACUUCACUUUUGGAUCACUAAAAACACUUUCACACUACUUUUGAAACACACAAACACAUAAACAUUGACAAUGCAUUUACCGAUGUAAGGAGGGGAACAGGAAACGGGACAGCGAGUGAAGUGUGAAGGAUACAGUGCGCAAAAAGAAGAAGGAGAAGAAGAAGCAGAAGCAGAAAAAACGACGGUAUUAAAAGUCAAAUGCUUUUUUGGUACAUUUCGUAUAAAAACGUAAAAGAAACAAUUUCCAAAAGCCCAACUAACAGACACUAAUUCAAAAUUAAUAAUCCAACAAGAAAGAGAGAGAGAGAGAAGAAAAAAAAUUGCAACAAAAAAACCAAACAAAAAAUGCGUAUAAACUAGCUGCAGAUUAAUUGAAACUGUAUUACGGUUAAUACUUUUUAAAAAUGUAUUUCAAGUAUCCUGUAAAAAUAAAAUGAUUAUAAUGGACCUAAAAAAA